Molecule: non-coding RNA, 30 nt
Filed under: Mus musculus (house mouse)
Lineage: Eukaryota; Metazoa; Chordata; Mammalia; Rodentia; Muridae
Source: RNAcentral
UGAGCUUUGUUUUUCAGGCCAGACACCAGU